UGGGGAUUGUGUCCCCAGAAUGUGGCAUCCUCAGAGGCCCAGUGCUGCUCACACCCUGCCCCUGUCUCAGCCUUCAGGGCACCCCAAGUUCGCUGUGCUCUAAGAAACGGGGGCAACUCUCCCGACUCAGAGCCUGACCACAGAGCAGAGGGAAAUCUUCCCAGCUUCCUCCUCCAGAAAACCAGCACACAGACCCUCUUCUCCUUAAGGAUUUUACUGCUACUUACUAAAAAGAAGUAGAAAAGACCACAAAAAGCAACACAUCUAGGAGUGUUAAAAACGAAUAAUCAUCUUUGAGUGUCACCUUUCAAAGGGACACAGAGUCAAGUGCCUUGGGGGCCAGGCAGGUGGUGUAUAUGAGUGCGAGUGAAGUAAAACCAACCCUAAUUUCCAGAGCGGGAGAAAACCCAUGUGGACCGAGACCAUCAGAAGCACACCUGUCCUUGCAAUGAAACCUAAUUGCCACAUCUUCUGAUAUUUUUUCAAGAGAAGUCAGAAAUUCACAGAUUACAAUAUGAAAUCUCUAAAUCUUUUAAUUGACAAAAAGAUUAACAAUUAAUUGACAAAAGUAUAAAAUUAAAACAAUCAAUCAAUACCUCUCUGGGACUUCAGUUAUACAAAUCAAAUUAAACACAUUUUACACUCUGCCUCGCAACAUCUCAGCAAUAUCAAAACUGAGUUCAGGCAAGGUGUGGUGGCUCAAGCCUGUAAUCUUAGCACUUUGGGAGGCCAAGGCAGGUGGAUCAUUUGAGGUCAGGUGUUUGAGACCAGCCUGGCCAACAUGGUGAAACUCCAUCUCUACUAAAAAUACAAAAGUCAUCUGGGCAUGG
Molecule: long non-coding RNA, 830 nt
Filed under: Rhinopithecus bieti (black snub-nosed monkey)
Lineage: Eukaryota; Metazoa; Chordata; Mammalia; Primates; Cercopithecidae
Description: lncRNA (ENSRBIG00000045179.1)
Source: RNAcentral